This 85-nucleotide non-coding RNA is filed under the name Chloroflexota bacterium. RNAcentral describes it as "Chloroflexi bacterium c-di-GMP sequence". It matches the Rfam family "c-di-GMP-II-GAG riboswitch aptamer". The record is from RNAcentral. Lineage: Bacteria; Bacillati; Chloroflexota.
CGCCCGGCGGGAGGCAACGACGCGCGGCCCGAACCCCGGCCGCCGGGACCGCACCGAGCCACUGGCGAGACCGACCCGCAUCGAU